UGGCGGCAGGCCUAACACAUGCAAGUCGAGCGGUAACAUUUCUAGCUUGCUAGAAGAUGACGAGCGGCGGACGGGUGAGUAACGCGUAGAAAUCUACCUAGUAGUGGGGGAUAGCCCAGAGAAAUUUGGAUUAAUACCGCAUACGCCCUACGGGGGAAAGCGGGGGAUCUUCGGACCUCGUGCUAUUAGAUGAGUCUGCGUCGGAUUAGCUUGUUGGUGAGGUAAUGGCUCACCAAGGCGACGAUCCGUAGCUGGUCUGAGAGGAUGACCAGCCACACUGGAACUGAGACACGGUCCAGACUCCUACGGGAGGCAGCAGUGGGGAAUAUUGCACAAUGGGCGCAAGCCUGAUGCAGCCAUGCCGCGUGUGUGAAGAAGGCCUUAGGGUUGUAAAGCACUUCCAGCAGUGAGGAAAGGGGUGUCGUUAAUAGCGCCAUCCUGUGACGUUAACUGCAGAAGAAGGACCGGCUAACUCCGUG
Molecule: ribosomal RNA, 479 nt
Filed under: uncultured bacterium
Lineage: Bacteria
Description: bacterial SSU rRNA
Rfam family: Bacterial small subunit ribosomal RNA
Source: RNAcentral